UCUUUCCUUGUCAUGGGGUGAAGGACAGCUCAAUGAACGUAUAGUGAGAGCUGUCUUGCCAACACCAUAAUCGACACAUAAGCAUCACCUGGCUUUCGAAGUCAGGCAAUGGUGCAAUUUUUGGAAAC
Small nuclear RNA from Triplophysa dalaica, 128 nucleotides. RefSeq annotates it as U4atac minor spliceosomal RNA. Lineage: Eukaryota; Metazoa; Chordata; Actinopteri; Cypriniformes; Nemacheilidae. The record is from RefSeq and is a predicted model, not a curated record. The transcript has a single exon.